AACCAAAGUAGAAGAGAAAUUUGAAGUCUGUAAAGCAAUGAAGGGAGCAGUGAGGAGAGUUUUUCAAAGCUUUGAGAUAAUGGGAGUUUGAAUUGGUUUUGUCACCCCAUUUUCUUUAGCGUCGGUAUCUUUUGAAUCUAAUUCACAAGCACUGGGUGGAACAUCAACAGCAGGAGAACAGUUGAAGAACCCGUGAGGCAAGAGUGUAAAGCCGAUGCGAUCCACAGGCAUAACGGGCCAAUCUUCCAACCGAGGAACAUGCGUGAUCCCGAAAACAUACCAAAGGACUAUGUCAGUUUCUUCUAAGGGUCGAUCCUGUUUAACCCAUGUAGAUAAUCCUUCACCGACGCGUGGAUUCUGAUUGGGAAACUCCCCUCCAGGAAACAUCUCAUCGCGUGAAUAUUGAGUCACCCAAAGAUUAUGCUUCAAGAAAGAAGCUCUUCGAAGAAACUUGGCCUCUGAACCAGCUAAUGGCAAACAAUUUGAACCAGGCAAUAGCUUGUAG
RNAcentral lists this unclassified non-coding RNA (505 nucleotides) under Hevea brasiliensis (rubber tree). Lineage: Eukaryota; Viridiplantae; Streptophyta; Magnoliopsida; Malpighiales; Euphorbiaceae. The record is from RNAcentral.